This is a long non-coding RNA of Carya illinoinensis, 1018 nucleotides long. RefSeq lists it as uncharacterized. The record is from RefSeq and is a predicted model, not a curated record. The transcript has 2 exons. NCBI's taxonomy places the organism in Eukaryota, Viridiplantae, Streptophyta, Magnoliopsida, Fagales, Juglandaceae.
GCCUGCCUGUAGCACUACUCAUCCUUUAUUGUCACUCUUAUUUAAAACAAUUCUGCUAGGGGCAACCGGGACUCGCAGUCGCCGGGCAGUCGGUUAUGCCACGUCAUUAAUAUUUUUUUUUUCCUUUAAACAAAGCAAAACCAAAACAGGCGAAAGGGAAAAAGAUUUCAGAAGAGCUCUACAUUGUGGUCUUCAGGUUUGGACGAAAGAAAGAUCUGUGUCAUCGUCAUCAUCGUCUUUGGGUUUGGAAGAAAGAAAAGCUCUAUGUCUUCGUAUUCGGCUCUGGAAGAACUACAGUACCUCAUAGGGCUCUCUGAUUCUUAUGGGUGGGUCUCUCGUUUGGAUCUUCGCGUGGGUCUCUAGUCCAUCUCUGUUUGAGGGUAGAUCUUGGGUGCAAACUGGUAGAUCUUCGAUGUUGGGUCUUCAUGUGGGCAUCUCUGUGGGUAGCUUCAGAUGAAAUAUGUGUGCUUGGGGAUUAUGAACAGUAAUUAUUGGGAAAGUUUGCACUUAUAAUGUUGUGCCUAGCUUACAGCACAAUGUCGCAUCGUUAUCUCUUUCUAUCGAGUUGAUAUAUGAGUUGAUGAUGAUACCACUGCGCUUAAUCUAUUAAAGAAAUGAGAGUUGGAUCUUGAACUUUUGGUAUAUGUUGUAAGAUGUGUAACAUAUAAAUCUUUACACCAAGUACCCAGUGAAUUUUACCUUAGUAAAACAAUUUUGGUGUUGCAAAAACUAUGUUUGUCAAUUACUAGUCAUCAAAGCCGACCACUUCAUUUGGUGAUAUAUACUUGAUGAGAGAUGGUACUUCAGAGGAACGCUCCUUUGCUUGAAUGUAAUUCCUUGGGAUUGAAUGUAUUUUAGAGAAUUUUUAUGUAUUGAAUGUUAUCGUUGUGUAUUGAAUGUAUUUGAGGGAAUUUUUAUGAAUCUGUAUAAAAUUUUAUAAGUACAUUACUGAUAAUAUUUUUCUUCAGAUCAAUGGUUGUAAUGUCAUUCCAGAUUUGCAUAUCCAGAUUUUUCUUUA